Molecule: long non-coding RNA, 237 nt
Filed under: Hordeum vulgare
Lineage: Eukaryota; Viridiplantae; Streptophyta; Magnoliopsida; Poales; Poaceae
Description: long non-coding RNA (HVUL_LNC015682)
Source: RNAcentral
AAGAAUUCAUCGUCGGAGACAGACACGCGAUCUAGGACACUUCCUAGUCAGAAUGUGUGUUGGUUAAGGCUGAUGUCAUGGGUUCCCAUUUACUACCAACUAUUCCACUAAUAGUUGUGUUGGUGUGAUUGGCCUUCAUGGCCCUUUGUAUGUAAGACUUGACCGUAAUGGUCUUUGUUGUAUCAGAUGUUAAUUUUGGAUGUAAGACUCUUGUUGUUCAGUAUCUGUGUGUUCGGU